RNAcentral lists this long non-coding RNA (241 nucleotides) under Elaeis guineensis (African oil palm). RNAcentral describes it as "long non-coding RNA (EGUI_LNC016957)". The record is from RNAcentral. Lineage: Eukaryota; Viridiplantae; Streptophyta; Magnoliopsida; Arecales; Arecaceae.
CGAGGCACUCGACUCCCCAAAGAUCGUCAGAAGUGUGUUACGCUGCGAUGAGCAUCAGAUGAAACUAAGAAAAAUAUUUUGUGCUCUCGUUUUAGCCAUUAUAACUCCUGGAAGGACAUUUCUCCUCUUUCCUGCCAAACUGUUGCAGCUCAUCUCUGGUAGGAUAGUUGGAUGCCUGAGUAUCGAACAACAGAAAACUAUGGAGAAGGACCACUCGUUGGAGAGAGGACAUAGUCGAGAG